GACGAACCGUGCGAACGUUGUUCGGAAUCACUGGGCUUAAAGGGCGCGUAGGCGGACCACCAAGUCGGGGGUGAAAUCUUUCAGCCCAACUGGAAAAGGGCUUCCGAUACUGGUGGUCUCGAGGGAGGUAGGGGUCGAGGGAACUAAUGGUGGAGCGGUGAAAUGCGUAGAUAUCAUUAGGAACGCCGGUGGCGAAAGCGCUCGACUGGACCUCUUCUGACGCUGAGGCGCGAAAGCCAGGGGAGCAAACGGG
RNAcentral lists this ribosomal RNA (253 nucleotides) under uncultured bacterium. RNAcentral's name for it is "partial 16S ribosomal RNA". It matches the Rfam family "Bacterial small subunit ribosomal RNA", at positions 524 to 776 of the family's 1533-position model. The record is from RNAcentral.